AGAGUUUGAUCAUGGCUCAGGAUGAACGCUAGCGGGAGGCCUAACACAUGCAAGCCGAGCGGUAGGUUUCCUUCGGGAAACUGAGAGCGGCGCACGGGUGCGGAACACGUGUGCAACCUGCCUUUAUCAGGGGGAUAGCCUUUCGAAAGGAAGAUUAAUACCCCAUAAUAUAUCAUAUGGCAUCAUUUGAUAUUGAAAACUACGGUGGAUAAAGAUGGGCACGCGCAGGAUUAGAUAGUUGGUAGGGUAACGGCCUACCAAGUCAACGAUCCUUAGGGGGCCUGAGAGGGUGAUCCCCCACACUGGUACUGAGACACGGACCAGACUUCUACGGGAGGCAGCAGUGAGGAAUAUUGGACAAUGGGUGAGAGCCUGAUCCAGCCAUCCCGCGUGAAGGACGACGGCCCUAUGGGUUGUAAACUUCUUUUGUAUAGGGAUAAACCUACUCUCGUGAGAGUAGCUGAAGGUACUAUACGAAUAAGCACCGGCUAACUCCGUGCCAGCAGCCGCGGUAAUACGGAGGGUGCAAGCGUUAUCCGGAUUUAUUGGGUUUAAAGGGUCCGUAGGCUGAUUUGUAAGUCAGUGGUGAAAUCUCACAGCUCAACUGUGAAACUGCCAUUGAUACUGCAAGUCUUGAGUGUUGUUGAAGUAGCUGGAAUAAGUAGUGUAGCGGUGAAAUGCAUAGAUAUUACUUAGAACACCAAUUGCGAAGGCAGGUUA
This 720-nucleotide ribosomal RNA is filed under the name uncultured Chryseobacterium sp. RNAcentral's name for it is "bacterial SSU rRNA". It matches the Rfam family "Bacterial small subunit ribosomal RNA", at positions 8 to 728 of the family's 1533-position model. The record is from RNAcentral. Lineage: Bacteria; Pseudomonadati; Bacteroidota; Flavobacteriia; Flavobacteriales; Weeksellaceae.